RNAcentral lists this ribosomal RNA (567 nucleotides) under Aspergillus oryzae. Its description in RNAcentral is "eukaryotic LSU rRNA". The stretch from base 224 to 377 matches the Rfam family "5.8S ribosomal RNA". The record is from RNAcentral. Lineage: Eukaryota; Fungi; Ascomycota; Eurotiomycetes; Eurotiales; Aspergillaceae.
GUAACAAGGUUUCCGUAGGUGAACCUGCGGAAGGAUCAUUACCGAGUGUAGGGUUCCUAGCGAGCCCAACCUCCCACCCGUGUUUACUGUACCUUAGUUGCUUCGGCGGGCCCGCCAUUCAUGGCCGCCGGGGGCUCUCAGCCCCGGGCCCGCGCCCGCCGGAGACACCACGAACUCUGUCUGAUCUAGUGAAGUCUGAGUUGAUUGUAUCGCAAUCAGUUAAAACUUUCAACAAUGGAUCUCUUGGUUCCGGCAUCGAUGAAGAACGCAGCGAAAUGCGAUAACUAGUGUGAAUUGCAGAAUUCCGUGAAUCAUCGAGUCUUUGAACGCACAUUGCGCCCCCUGGUAUUCCGGGGGGCAUGCCUGUCCGAGCGUCAUUGCUGCCCAUCAAGCACGGCUUGUGUGUUGGGUCGUCGUCCCCUCUCCGGGGGGGACGGGCCCCAAAGGCAGCGGCGGCACCGCGUCCGAUCCUCGAGCGUAUGGGGCUUUGUCACCCGCUCUGUAGGCCCGGCCGGCGCUUGCCGAACGCAAAUCAAUCUUUUCCAGGUUGACCUCGGAUCAGGUAGG